RNAcentral lists this transfer RNA (71 nucleotides) under Loxodonta africana (African savanna elephant). It matches the Rfam family "tRNA". Rfam says of the family: Transfer RNA (tRNA) molecules are approximately 80 nucleotides in length. Their secondary structure includes four short double-helical elements and three loops (D, anti-codon, and T loops). Further hydrogen bonds mediate the characteristic L-shaped molecular structure. tRNAs have two regions of fundamental functional importance: the anti-codon, which is responsible for specific mRNA codon recognition, and the 3' end, to which the tRNAs corresponding amino acid is attached (by aminoacyl-tRNA synthetases). tRNAs cope with the degeneracy of the genetic code in two manners: having more than one tRNA (with a specific anti-codon) for a particular amino acid; and 'wobble' base-pairing, i.e. permitting non-standard base-pairing at the 3rd anti-codon position. The record is from Rfam by way of RNAcentral. Lineage: Eukaryota; Metazoa; Chordata; Mammalia; Proboscidea; Elephantidae.
GCAAUGGUGGUGCAGUGGUAGAAUUCUCACCUUCCAUGUGGGAGACCUGGGUUCAAUUCCAGGCCAAUGCC